Molecule: ribosomal RNA, 216 nt
Filed under: Glomeromycotina sp.
Lineage: Eukaryota; Fungi; Glomeromycota
Description: partial small subunit ribosomal RNA
Rfam family: Eukaryotic small subunit ribosomal RNA (bases 44-216)
Source: RNAcentral
GGGUCAGUAGGUUGGUCGUGCCACCGGUACGUACUGGUCUCACUGAUUCCUCCUUCCUGAAGAACCGUAAUGCCAUUAAUUUGGUGUUGCGGGGAAACAGGACUGUUACUUUGAAAAAAUUAGAGUGUUUAAAGCAAGCUAACGCUUGAAUACAUUAGCAUGGAAUAAUGAAAUAGGACGAUCGAUCCUAUUUUGUUGGUUUCCAGGAUUGACGCA